Molecule: ribosomal RNA, 509 nt
Filed under: uncultured bacterium
Lineage: Bacteria
Description: bacterial SSU rRNA
Rfam family: Bacterial small subunit ribosomal RNA
Source: RNAcentral
CUGGCUCGGGAUGAACGCUAGCUACAGGCUUAACACAUGCAAGUCGAGGGGCAGCAUGUGGUGCUUGCAACCAAUGAUGGCGACCGGCGCACGGGUGAGUAACGCGUAUCCAACCUUCCCUAUAGUAGAGGAUAGCCCGGCGAAAGUCGGAUUAAUACUCUAUGUUUUCCAAUGCAGACAUCUAAAAUGGAACAAAGGUUCACCGCUAUAGGAUGGGGAUGCGUCUGAUUAGAUAGUCGGCGGGGUAACGGCCCACCGAGUCGACGAUCAGUAGGGGUUCUGAGAGGAAGGUCCCCCACAUUGGAACUGAGACACGGUCCAAACUCCUACGGGAGGCAGCAGUGAGGAAUAUUGGUCAAUGGGCGAGAGCCUGAACCAGCCAAGUAGCCGUGCAGGAUGACGGCCCUAUGGGUUGUAAACUGCUUUUAUACAGGGAUAAAGUGACGUACGUGUACGUUUUUGUAGGUACUGUAUGAAUAAGGACCGGCUAAUCCCGUGCCAGCCGCUGC